RNAcentral lists this ribosomal RNA (462 nucleotides) under uncultured bacterium. Its description in RNAcentral is "bacterial SSU rRNA". It matches the Rfam family "Bacterial small subunit ribosomal RNA", at positions 28 to 490 of the family's 1533-position model. The record is from RNAcentral.
GAUGAACGCUAGCGGCAGGCUUAAUACAUGCAAGUCGAGGGGCAGCACGGCAGCAAUGCUGGUGGCGACCGGCGCACGGGUGCGUAACGCGUAUGCAACCUACCUUUGACAGUGGGAUAGCCCCGAGAAAUCGGGAUUAAUACCGCAUAACAAUGGGUUCUGGCAUCGGGAUUCAUUUAAAACUCCGGUGGUCAAAGAUGGGCAUGCGUGACAUUAGCUAGUUGGUAGGGUAACGGCCUACCAAGGCGACGAUGUCUAGGGGUUCUGAGAGGAUGAUCCCCCANACUGGUACUGAGACACGGACCAGACUCCUACGGGAGGCAGCAGUAAGGAAUAUGGUCAAUGGGCGCAAGGCCUGAACUAGCCAUGCCGCGUGCAGGAAGACGGCCUUAUGGGUUGUAAACUGCUUUUAUAAGGGAUAAACCCAGUUCAGAGCGUGGUUGAAGGUACCUUAUGAAUAAG